AGAGUGACAAUAGGUAUAAAAUUCACACCUUAACUUUAAGCACCAAUAAUUCUUUCAUAAAAACUCCAAAUCAUAAAAAAUUUGCAUCUAAUUCGUACCCAAAAUCCUAAACUUAUUGAUCCUAGCCUCCAAAGCUCGAAUGAAUUCAAAAAAAAAACCCUAAUUCCUAAUAAGGCCUCAAGCAACCUCCUUGAAGCCUAUUGGGCAUGAUCUUUGACCAAUAGGAAUGAAGAUCUCCAUUUCUUGCCUUCAUCCAACUAUGUCUUGCUUUCAUCCCUCCUAAUAAACCUCCUACUAAUUAAAAAUUUCU
This 310-nucleotide long non-coding RNA is filed under the name Physcomitrium patens. Its description in RNAcentral is "long non-coding RNA (PPAT_LNC011424)". Lineage: Eukaryota; Viridiplantae; Streptophyta; Bryopsida; Funariales; Funariaceae. The record is from RNAcentral.